This 608-nucleotide ribosomal RNA is filed under the name uncultured archaeon. Its description in RNAcentral is "bacterial SSU rRNA". It matches the Rfam family "Archaeal small subunit ribosomal RNA", at positions 102 to 710 of the family's 1478-position model. The record is from RNAcentral.
GGAUAACCUACCCUUAGGACCGGGAUAACCCUGGGAAACUGGGGAUAAUACUGGAUAGGCAAUUUUUCCUGUAAUGGUUUUUUGUUUAAAUGUUUUUUCGCCUAAGGAUGGGUCUGCGGCCGAUUAGGUAGUUGGUUAGGUAAUGGCUUACCAAGCCGUUGAUCGGUACGGGUUGUGAGAGCAAGAGCCCGGAGAUGGAACCUGAGACAAGGUUCCAGGCCCUACGGGGUGCAGCAGGCGCGAAACCUCCGCAAUGUGAGAAAUCGCGACGGGGGGAUCCCAAGUGCCAUUCUUAACGGGAUGGCUUUUCAUUAGUGUAAAGAGCUUUUGGAAUAAGGGCUGGGCAAGACCGGUGCCAGCCGCCGCGGUAACACCGGCAGCUCUAGUGGUAGCAGUUUUUAUUGGGCCUAAAGCGUCCGUAGCCGGUUUAAUAAGUCUCUGGUGAAAUCCUGUAGCUUAACUGUGGGAAUUGCUGGUGAUACUGUUGAACUUGAGGUCGGGAGAGGUUAGAGGUACUCCCAGGGUAGAGGUGAAAUUCUGUAAUCCUGGGAGGACCGCCUGUUGCGAAGGCGUCUAACUGGAACGGUUCUGACGGUGAGGGACGAAAG